This 108-nucleotide ribosomal RNA is filed under the name Castor canadensis (American beaver). The record is from RNAcentral. Lineage: Eukaryota; Metazoa; Chordata; Mammalia; Rodentia; Castoridae.
GUCUAUGGCCAUACCACCUGAUCAUGCCAGACCUCAUCUGAUCUCAGAAGCUAAGCAGGGUUGGGCCUGGCUAGUACUUGGAUGGGAGAAAAUAAAACAACUUAGAUU